RNAcentral lists this ribosomal RNA (253 nucleotides) under uncultured bacterium. RNAcentral describes it as "partial 16S ribosomal RNA". It matches the Rfam family "Bacterial small subunit ribosomal RNA", at positions 524 to 776 of the family's 1533-position model. The record is from RNAcentral.
GACAGAGGUGCCGAGCGUUAGGCGGAAUCACUGGGCUUAAAGCGUGUGUAGGCGGACCGUUAAGUACCUUGUGAAAUCCCACGGCUCAACCGUGGAACGGCUGGGUAUACUGGCGGUCUUGGGCCACUCAGGGGCGAGCGGAACAAGUGGUGGAGCGGUGAAAUGCGUAGAUAUCAUUUGGAACGCCAACGGUGAAAACAGACAGCUGGGGGUGUCCUGACGCUGAGACGCGAAAGCCAGGGGAGCGAACGGG